This 2049-nucleotide long non-coding RNA is filed under the name Sorghum bicolor (sorghum). Its description in RNAcentral is "long non-coding RNA (SBIC_LNC012912)". Lineage: Eukaryota; Viridiplantae; Streptophyta; Magnoliopsida; Poales; Poaceae. The record is from RNAcentral.
GUAGUUCGUUCUAAUUCCAUGCUAAUGACUUGCUAGAAUAUCUAAUUGAGGUGCUUAUCAUAUUUAUUAUGUGGCUAAGUUAUGCUUAUCAGAUUAAUUAUCUUUGUCACUAUUCAUUACUUUAUAUAUCCUUUAUGUGACACUUAUCCCUGUAUGAAAGAGUUAGAUAAAUGUUCUCAAUUAUACAUGCAAUGAUAGAUACUCAAUCUUAUAUUCCAUUCUAUAAUCAACAUUGAUAGUUACUAAUCCCUUCCCAGUGGUAAAAAUAUAAAUAACGAUACCUGGAAUACUUCCCGGUUAAAAUACUACAUCGGUAUUAAUCUGUGCGCUUGCAGAUCCCAUUCAUUAUUUAUUUAGAUGAGCAAUUACAUCUUUCAAUACCGCGUCUCUCAUGUCAUGCUGGGGAUGACAACUUGGCUUAAUUGGUAUGAGGGAUAGGUUUGGCAUUUUUGGCGCCGUUAUCAGAAUUAGAAAACUAAGUCUAUUUUUGGUAAUAACGUUAAGAAUACCCGACACCAAGUCUAGGUAAUUGACAAACAUGAUAUGAGAAGGUCUGAGCUACUAUUUAACGUUAAGAAUACCCGACACCAAGAGAUUUUAUCUUUUGAAAAUCUAAAAAUUCAAAAAAAAAGAGAUCAUGUUUGACAUAAUACCUAGAGUCUUAUAAGAUAUAAAUAUUAAAACUAUGGGCACUUGCUUUGUUCAAGCCAUUGUUAAUUCUUGUAGUUUUGGUUGAGAGAAUUAUCAUGCUCCAAAGAUCAAGAUCUUUUUGUUUUAAACAUAUAAAGGAUUCACUCUUCCAAAGUAUUAUUGCGUUAGAGGCAUGGGACUAUGCAAAAAUUUGAUUCGAAAAAAAGAGAGUGAAACGAGAGGUAAAAAUGGACAAGUGUCCGAAGUAAAAUUAGGGGUACAAAGAUACCCACCUGAGUGGAAAAAAUGGACACGUGUCCGAUAGUAGAAUUAGGGGUACUUGGUGCCCACUUGAAAAAAAAGAAAAAAAUGAUAGCCCAUGGUCCCUCUAAUAAGCAAUAUGCCAGUAAGAGAUGACAAACUUUUCAAAAAGGUCAAAGGUCUUGAUCUAGGAGUAUGACAUUCUUCUCCCUUGCUCCGAGCAUUGACAUAGCAAAAUGCAAAGUAAGUAUGCUAAAACUUUUAAAGCUCUACUUAUAUAUCUUUCGAGAUGAAUGCAAAAUGCCUCAGUUUUAUUUUGGAAACUUACAAAAAAAACUCCAGAACAAAGGUAAGACAGAGGAACUUGAGACAUAGUGCUUGACUUGAUCGUUCUGUUUUUCAAUCACUUAAGACCAUAGUGAUAACUUAAAAACCCUGUAGUAAGAGGCAUAAAAGUAAACCAUGUUUUCUUGCUGAUUUUGGCUUUGCUCAGGGACGAGCAAAGGUUAAGCUUCGGGGAGCUUGUUGGCGGUCCUUAAUGCUCACAUUUAACCGUCAACUAAUCAUAGAAAGGGACCUAUAUGCAACCAACAUCCAAAAUUAGGGUUUCAUCUGACAAAAUUCCAUGAGUUUUGGUGUUUGUCUAUUUCUGCAGGGGGUUAUCAGGAAAUAUGGAGGAAAGGUCCACACGUCGGGUUUACAUAGAGAUAUUAACGUGCACCGCAAUUAUCCAACAUCUAGAAGAGUCCAAAAGCCACAGGACCGAGCGGGAGGCCGAGCGGGCCCGGGGGUUGGGCGCCCGCCCUGCCCUGGUGACCAAUCAGGGCAGGUCUCGCGGAUCGUGCUCCACCGCCUCUAAUCUUCAAGAAUAACCGUGCGAUUAAGGUUGGUUUGAUCCGACGGCCCACAUUCAUUUGGAGGGGCUAUAUAAGCAGGCCCUCUGGCCCCUGGAGGCAUAUCUCUUCUACAGAAUCAAAGCUAGGGUUUCUAUUAUUCAUCCAAGUAGAGAGGAUCCCUCUAGUUCAUCUAGUUCUAGUUCUAGUUCAUCUAGUUCUAGUUCUAGUUAGUUCUAGUUGUAAUCUAGAAAAUAGGGAGAGAGAAGAGGAGAGCGGAGGAGGAGCCGGAUCUGUUGGAUCUUCCUCAACAUUGUACUUUUGC